Molecule: ribosomal RNA, 210 nt
Filed under: Clostridioides difficile
Lineage: Bacteria; Bacillati; Bacillota; Clostridia; Peptostreptococcales; Peptostreptococcaceae
Description: partial 23S ribosomal RNA
Rfam family: Bacterial large subunit ribosomal RNA
Source: RNAcentral
ACACGUGAAACCCUGUGGGAAGCAGGAGGGACCACCCUCCAAGGCUAAAUACUACCUAGUGACCGAUAGCGUAUAGUACCGUGAGGGAAAGGUGAAAAGAACCCCGGGAGGGGAGUGAAAUAGAACCUGAAACCCUGCACUUACAAGCUGUGGAAGCACAUUUCUUGUGUGACCGCGUACUUUUUGUAGAACGGGCCAACGAGUUACGUU